GACGAACGCUGGCGGCGUGCUUAACACAUGCCAGUCGAACGGAAAGGCCCUGCUUGCUCGUGGCUCUAGCGGCGCACGGGUGAGUAAAACAUGGGAGUCUGCCUGCUAGUGCGGGGUAACGUCUGGAAAAGAGCGCUUAUAACACCUAAGUCGUGCUCGUGCUAGUGGGGGGUGUUCGGAAUUGUGGGUAAGGGAUGAGCCGACGGCCGAUUAGCUAGUUGGUGGGGUAAAGGCCUACAAAGGCGUCGAUGGGUAGCUGGCCUGAAGGGGUGACCGGCAAAAUGGGGACGGAGAUAAGGCCAGGACUCCUCGGGGAGGAAGAAGUGGGGAGUAUUGAACAAGGGGGGGAAGCCUGAUGAAGCAAGGCGGCGUGCGGGAUGAGGGCCUCCGGGUUGUAAAGCGCUUUCGCCUGUGACGAAGCGUGAGUGACGGUAAUGGGUAAAGAAGCACCGGCUAACUACGUG
This 464-nucleotide ribosomal RNA is filed under the name uncultured bacterium. Its description in RNAcentral is "partial 16S ribosomal RNA". It matches the Rfam family "Bacterial small subunit ribosomal RNA", at positions 28 to 507 of the family's 1533-position model. The record is from RNAcentral.